Molecule: long non-coding RNA, 1231 nt
Organism: Neoarius graeffei (lesser salmon catfish)
Lineage: Eukaryota; Metazoa; Chordata; Actinopteri; Siluriformes; Ariidae
Exons: 3
Source: RefSeq, a predicted model, not a curated record
GGAGCAAGAUGCAAACAGGAAGUUCCUCAGUCCAAACACAAGAGGCUGGUCAAAAAAUACCUGGCAUCAAGACCUGGAGGUGGACAUCAAGAAGAUGGGGCGUACCUCAGGGGCAGCUGGAAUGAAUGGCCCAGGAUCGCAAUGCCUGGAAAGCUCUUGCUGAUGGCCAAUGCCCCAGACGAGACAACAAGCAGAGAUGAGAUGAGAUGAGAUGCUGCUGCUUAUUCUUCUGCAGUUUUUUCAAGAUAUUGACCCCAACCCAACUUAAAUGAACACAAGACGUUUUGGAAUCAAAGUCUUGCUGCUUGCUUCAUCAGAGAGCCACCAAAUUUAAAAUGACACCUCUGGACAAUCUCACCCAACACAUGCAUGCUUCUUCCUCCCAUUGGCAGCAAUGCAUUUUUGGCCCCAUGGUAAUACAGUACAAUGCCCAUCAGAAGCCAAGCUCUCCUGCUAUACAACUUCAUUUCAUAGUUUUAACCAACUUGUCCAACACACAUCCAUCCACCUAUCAUAAGUCACAGUCAUCAUGUUCUUUGUGCUGCGGUGGUGCAAUCACACUUGCAUUUUCUUCAGGAAAUGCAUUCGUCUAGUUUUAUUUCAUAAAACAACUUCGUUGUAUGUUUUCGACAGUAGAAACAAAAAAAGAACCAAUGUAAAUCUGAACUUUUCUUUCAAACACUUUUUUGUUGUUAUUUUUGUUUGUUUCUGAGUAAUGUACCAUUCCCAAUUGAGUUGACGCAAGGGGUCGGCGUUUUUAGGUGAGCACUGAGAGUCUAUUUGAAUAUCUUAAGAUCUAUAAUUGAUAACUUUCACAUUUUUGCUCAAAAUUUGGAACGUUUUGUGUUGAGCAAUGAAAGCGUACGUAGCAGGUCCAAUAAAUAUAAUUAUAAUACAUAGGGCCAAAUUACUCAAUUCUGAUUGGUCAAUCAAGGAGGGCUUUUUUCCUUAACACGGGGCCGUAUUUCUGAAAUGCUCUUGGCUAGCUCGUUGCUUGGUUACGGUUACAAAAAUUAGCAAAUUGUGUCAACAAAAUGGCUUUUGUAAAGAAGUUCCAAUAAAAUUUUGUAAACCACUUUCAAAAUCCUCGUGUCGUGUCAUGAUGAAAGCCGCUUUAGAAACUGAUUCAAACGUGCAAGAUAGUCUCGCGCCCUGAUUGGUUCAGAAAACGUGAAUGACAAAUGUUGUGAACUUGAACGGCUUCCGAAGUAUGAAUUUGGCCCUAUAUAUU